GAUGAACGCUGGCGGCGUGCUUAACACAUGCAAGUCGAGCGAACAGACGAGGAGCUUGCUCCUCUGACGUUAGCGGCGGACGGGUGAGUAACACGUGGAUAACCUACCUAUAAGACUGGGAUAACUUCGGGAAACCGGAGCUAAUACCGGAUAAUAUAUUGAACCGCAUGGUUCAAUAGUGAAAGUCGGUUUUGCUGUCGGUUGUAGCUGGAUCCGCGCCGCAUUAGCUAGUUGGUAAGGUAAGGGCUUACCAAGGCAACGAUGCGUAGCCGGCCUGAGAGCGGAACAGGCCACAUUGGGCCUGAGAUACGGCACAGAAGCGACUGGGAGGCAGCAGUGGGGAACAUUGCACAACGGGGGGAAGUCUGAUGAAGAAACGCCCUGGUCGGGAUGAUGGCUUUUGGGUUGUAAACAGAUGUCGCCGGUGAUGAAGAGGGAGUGACGGUAACGGGUAAAGAAGCAACGGCUAACUACGUG
Molecule: ribosomal RNA, 477 nt
Filed under: uncultured bacterium
Lineage: Bacteria
Description: partial 16S ribosomal RNA
Rfam family: Bacterial small subunit ribosomal RNA
Source: RNAcentral